GGGGCAUCACCAAUAUUCCACACGGAUUCCUUGUGCUUCAGCUUCACAAAACCCUAAACCCUAAAACUUUCUCCUUCUCAAACUCUUUCGUCUACAACAUUAUCUCUUCCCUCUUUCUGAACAUUCCAGAAACCCUGGCACAUUCUCUUUUCGAGCUCUCGAAGCUACCUUUGUUACUCCACAGCCAUGUAUAGGUUUGUCUCUGGCCUCGCCUCCAAAGCCAGGUUGGCUAAGAACAGUACCCAGCAGAUUGGUGGUAGGUUGACUUGGAGCAGAAAUUAUGCGGCCAAAGACAUUAAAUUUGGCGUUGAAGCUCGCGCUUUGAUGCUUAAAGGUGUUGAGGAUCUUGCUGAUGCUGUUAAAGUGACUAUG
Molecule: unclassified non-coding RNA, 372 nt
Filed under: Hevea brasiliensis (rubber tree)
Lineage: Eukaryota; Viridiplantae; Streptophyta; Magnoliopsida; Malpighiales; Euphorbiaceae
Source: RNAcentral